AAGCCUCAUAAUAGCUGAAAAUCAGCACAGAUUGAAAUUUGAUAUACACAGGGAAAUAAAAAAUACAGUGUAUCAAAAGAAACCAAGCAUAAAUCGAUUGAUAGAGCGAAGUAAGUUGAAAUUGGAAUGAAAUUGAUGUUUGAACACAAUCGAUUUAACAAUAGUCUGAACACAGAGAAAAAACAUAGAUCUGAGGAAUUCUUACCGUGAAAGAGACGUUGCGGUGAUUGCGAUUGUAUGAAAUGAAGAAAUCUUCCGCUGCAAUAAGCGAUUUGGAAGACGAGAAACACAAACAGUUACGUUCAUAACCGAUGAAAUUGAAUUGAAAUUGAUGUUUGAACACAAUCGAUUUAACAAUAGUUUGAACACAGAGAUCUAUCUAAACAAAGAUAUGAGGAAUUCUUAUCGUGAAAGAGACGUUGCGGUGAUUGCGAACAUGAGAAAUGAAGAAAUCUUCCGCUGCAAUAAGCAGAUUUGGAAGAGCAGAAACACAAAGAGUUCUGUUCUUCUCCGAAAACGGUUAGAGGUCGCAGAUAGUAUAGCAUCCUUCGUCGUGUUCAUUGUCUCCUUCUCAGUUUGGUUUUUUUCUCUUUCAGUAAACUACUAAGCGUAUGUUUGGAUACGCGUUUCUGCACAUCAAACGCGCGUUUCAGCCCCUCAAACGCAAUUUUUCACUUUUGCAUGAUGUUUGGUAACAGAAUGGAAAAUCGAUUUCACUCCUCAGAUUCGAUUCU
This 734-nucleotide long non-coding RNA is filed under the name Trifolium pratense (red clover). RNAcentral's name for it is "long non-coding RNA (TPRA_LNC008929)". The record is from RNAcentral. Lineage: Eukaryota; Viridiplantae; Streptophyta; Magnoliopsida; Fabales; Fabaceae.